AAGAGAAGUUGCCGAUCCAAUUUCUUCGGGUAUUUUAAUAAUCAAGUUAAACGACAGAUCUAAAGAUUUAAGCAUAGGAAGCCUGCCAAAAAUUAUUCAAUGGAAUCACAAAAACAGAAAAUGCUGAAGAACGAAAGCGAAACACUCAAUCUCCAGACAAAAGCAAAUAGGGAGUGGGGUGGAAAGAAAAAUGGUGACGGAACUGACUCUCCAAUAGCAGAGGGGAGCUCGUGGA
This 235-nucleotide long non-coding RNA is filed under the name Linum usitatissimum (flax). Its description in RNAcentral is "long non-coding RNA (LUSI_LNC000422)". Lineage: Eukaryota; Viridiplantae; Streptophyta; Magnoliopsida; Malpighiales; Linaceae. The record is from RNAcentral.